Unclassified non-coding RNA from Callithrix jacchus (white-tufted-ear marmoset), 148 nucleotides. It matches the Rfam family "Metazoan signal recognition particle RNA". From Rfam's summary of the family: The signal recognition particle (SRP) is a universally conserved ribonucleoprotein. It is involved in the co-translational targeting of proteins to membranes. The record is from Ensembl. Lineage: Eukaryota; Metazoa; Chordata; Mammalia; Primates; Cebidae.
GCUGGGCAUGGUGGGGCAUGCCUAUAGUCCCAGCUACUCAGGAGGCUGAGGCAGGAGAAUUGCUCGAACUCAGGAGGCAGAGGCUGCAGUGAGCCGAGAUUGUGCCACUGCACUCCAGCCUGGGUGAAAGAGUGAGACUCUGCCUCAA